GAUGAACGCUGGCGGCGUGCUUAACACAUGCAAGUCGAACGGUGAAGGCGGGGUUUGCUCUGCUGGAUCAGUGGCGAACGGGUGAGUAUCACGGGAGCAAUCUGCCCCUGACUCUGUGAUGAGCGCUGGAAACGGCUUCUAAUACUUGAUACGAGCUGCGAAAGCAUCUUCAGCUUCUGUUAACAAUUUCGGUCUGGGAUGGUCUUCCGGUUUAUCAGCUUGUUGGUGAGGUGAAGGCUCACCAAGGCGUCGACGGGUAGUCGGCAUGGGAGGGUGACCGGCCUCAUGGGGACUGAGAUAGGUCCCAGUCUCCUACUGGGGGCAGCAGUGGAUAGUAUUGCACAAUGGGGGAGAGUCUGAUGAGGAGGUGCCGCGAGAGGGAUGACGGCCUUGGGGUUGUAAAGGUCUUUUAGCAGGGAAGAAGCGAAAGUGACGGUACCUGCAGAAAAAGCGCCGGCUAACUACGUG
Molecule: ribosomal RNA, 468 nt
Filed under: uncultured bacterium
Lineage: Bacteria
Description: partial 16S ribosomal RNA
Rfam family: Bacterial small subunit ribosomal RNA
Source: RNAcentral